RNAcentral lists this ribosomal RNA (294 nucleotides) under Enterobacter sp. CC16. RNAcentral's name for it is "partial 16S ribosomal RNA". It matches the Rfam family "Bacterial small subunit ribosomal RNA", at positions 46 to 334 of the family's 1533-position model. The record is from RNAcentral. Lineage: Bacteria; Pseudomonadati; Pseudomonadota; Gammaproteobacteria; Enterobacterales; Enterobacteriaceae.
AGGCCUAACACAUGCAAGUCGAACGGUAACAGGAAGCAGCUUGCUGCUUCGCUGACGAGUGGCGGACGGGUGAGUAAUGUCUGGGAAACUGCCUGAUGGAGGGGGAUAACUACUGGAAACGGUAGCUAAUACCGCAUAACGUCGCAAGACCAAAGAGGGGGACCUUCGGGCCUCUUGCCAUCAGAUGUGCCCAGAUGGGAUUAGCUAGUAGGUGGGGUAACGGCUCACCUAGGCGACGAUCCCUAGCUGGUCUGAGAGGAUGACCAGCCACACUGGAACUGAGACACGGUCCAG